RNAcentral lists this transfer-messenger RNA (375 nucleotides) under Rhodococcus rhodnii. Its description in RNAcentral is "Standard tmRNA". It matches the Rfam family "transfer-messenger RNA". Rfam says of the family: Bacterial tmRNA, also known as 10Sa RNA or SsrA, is named for its dual tRNA and mRNA-like properties. Its role is to liberate the mRNA from a stalled ribosome. RNAcentral also lists the same sequence under 1 other name. The record is from RNAcentral. Lineage: Bacteria; Bacillati; Actinomycetota; Actinomycetes; Mycobacteriales; Nocardiaceae.
GGGGCUGAACGGUUUCGACUGCGUACGUAACGUCGAGGGAAGCGUGCCGGUGCAGGCAAGAGACCACCGUUAAGCGUCGCUGCAACCAAUUAAGCGCCGAUUCCAAUCAGCGCGACUACGCCCUCGCUGCCUGAUAGCAGCGACUGCGUGUCUGUCAGCCCGGGUUUGCUCUCGGCCCGGUGUCUGGCAUCAGCUAGAGAGCUUCACCGUUCGGCUCGGUCGCGGAGUCGAACGGGACAUCCAACAGCGACUGGGACCGUCAUCUCGGCUUGUUCGCGUGACCGGGAGGUCCGAGUAGAGGCAUAGCGGACUGCGCACGGAGAAGUCUCGGCAGUGCUGCGGAGGACCCGGGUUCGAUUCCCGGCAGCUCCACUC